RNAcentral lists this non-coding RNA (108 nucleotides) under Marinomonas aquimarina. Its description in RNAcentral is "Bacterial large subunit ribosomal RNA". It matches the Rfam family "Bacterial large subunit ribosomal RNA", at positions 2820 to 2925 of the family's 2925-position model. The record is from Rfam by way of RNAcentral. Lineage: Bacteria; Pseudomonadati; Pseudomonadota; Gammaproteobacteria; Oceanospirillales; Oceanospirillaceae.
UAAAGUGCCCUAAAGAGCCGUUCGAGACUAGGACGUUGAUAGGUUGGGUGUGUAAGCGUUGUGAGGCGUUGAGCUAACCAAUACUAAUUGCUCGUGAGGCUUGACCAU